RNAcentral lists this ribosomal RNA (1267 nucleotides) under Legionella pneumophila. Its description in RNAcentral is "partial 23S ribosomal RNA". It matches the Rfam family "Bacterial large subunit ribosomal RNA", at positions 1672 to 2925 of the family's 2925-position model. The record is from RNAcentral. Lineage: Bacteria; Pseudomonadati; Pseudomonadota; Gammaproteobacteria; Legionellales; Legionellaceae.
UAGAGAAUACUAAGGCGCUUGAGAGAACUCGGGUGAAGGAACUAGGCAAAAUGGUACCGUAACUUCGGGAGAAGGUACGCCCUUUCUGGUGAUGGGAUUUACUUUCAGAGCUGGAGAGGGCCGCAGAGACCAGGUGGCUGCGACUGUUUAUUAAAAACACAGCACUCUGCAAAUUCGUAAGAAGACGUAUAGGGUGUGACGCCUGCCCGGUGCCGGAAGGUUAAUUGAUGGGGUUAUCUUCGGAGAAGCUCUUGAUCGAAGCCCCGGUAAACGGCGGCCGUAACUAUAACGGUCCUAAGGUAGCGAAAUUCCUUGUCGGGUAAGUUCCGACCUGCACGAAUGGCGUAACGAUGGCCACACUGUCUCCACCCGAGACUCAGUGAAAUUGAAAUCGCUGUGAAGAUGCAGUGUACCCGCGGCUAGACGGAAAGACCCCGUGAACCUUUACUAUAGUUUUGCACUGGACUUUGAUGAUGACUGUGUAGGAUAGGUGGGAGGCUGUGAAGUGAGGACGCUAGUUCUCAUGGAGCCGCCCUUGAAAUACCACCCUGUUGUUAUUGAGGUUCUAACUUGGUCCAGUAAUCCUGGAUGAGGACAGUGUAUGAUGGGUAGUUUGACUGGGGCGGUCUCCUCCCAAAGAGUAACGGAGGAGCACAAAGGUACCCUCGGUACGGUCGGACAUCGUACCAAGAGUGUAAAGGCAAAAGGGUGCUUGACUGCGAGAGUGACGGCUCGAGCAGGAACGAAAGUUGGUCUUAGUGAUCCGGUGGUUCUGAAUGGAAGGGCCAUCGCUCAACGGAUAAAAGGUACUCCGGGGAUAACAGGCUGAUACCGCCCAAGAGUUCAUAUCGACGGCGGUGUUUGGCACCUCGAUGUCGGCUCAUCACAUCCUGGGGCUGAAGCAGGUCCCAAGGGUAUGGCUGUUCGCCAUUUAAAGUGGUACGCGAGCUGGGUUUAGAACGUCGUGAGACAGUUCGGUCCCUAUCUGCCGUGGGCGUAGGAAAAUUGAGAGGAGCUGCUCCUAGUACGAGAGGACCGGAGUGGACGAACCUCUGGUGCACCGGUUGUCACGCCAGUGGCAUGGCCGGGUAGCUAAGUUCGGACGGGAUAACCGCUGAAAGCAUCUAAGCGGGAAGCCUCCCUCAAGAUGAGUUUUCCCAUGAAGCCCGUUGAAGACUACGACGUUGAUAGGCAAGGUGUGGAAGCGCAGUAAUGUGUGAAGCUAACUUGUACUAAUUGGCUGAUUGUCUUGACCAUAUAAUCUGAG